UUAGACAAGAAAAUCAUUCCAGGCAGAAGGCUUACAUUCUCAGUCUCUUUGAACAAAAAGGUGGAGUAGUGUCAGCCAGAUUAUCUGUUUCAAUGAUCUUUUCUGAGUUUAUUAAGUAGUUCACUGAUUGAGCUAAAACUCUUAAACACAUGCAGCAUAUGCAUGGGCACUUUUCCUAAGAAUAUUUCUAUAAAGCAAAAUAAUUUUUAAGCACAUCGUGCUAGAAUACAAUGAUUUAUUAUUAACUAACACUUAUGCAGUAUAUUAUUAUGAAAUGGUUAGAUUUGUUGAACCCUACUAGUUCACUCCAAGCAUGAAUGAAUUUGAUUGACUUUUGGCAUAUCCGAUGUAACAUACUUACUUUAUAUGAUAUAACUUGCCAUCUGACCAGCUUCUACUUUAUUUUAGCGGCAGUGAGGCGUAGUGAUAUAUCACUACAAUUGGCGUAGUGAUAUAAAUAUAACUAAACAAAAUGCAAACACGGGGAAGACUGGCUGACACGUGAUUUAAGGCACUGUGACCAGAUUGGUAAAAUCUUGUUUAUGAGGAUGAGGACUGCAUAACAUGUAACACUGUUUUUUUUCACGAUUGUAUCUAACAAAGCUUGUCUUUGUCUUUGAUUUUUGGUUGUUCACCUGUCCUUCCUGCCCCCAGUUUAUCACUUGGGAGCCACUGAAAUUGACUUUGAUCAAGCUGUAGAGACAAGGUAUACUUCUUGACCCUUCGCUGUUCCCGAGCACUGUUUAUCAGGAAGAUUUGUUUUUCAUUAAAGCCGAGUAAGACCAGCUAACAAUAGGAAUGAGUUUUUUUCCCAGGUUGACUCACAGCUGCUGUUAUCUAGUCCAAAGAUGACAUUUUCAAGUUGCUUCUAAAUAUCAUGAGGAAGAUGGUUCCUUUUUAGUUUCCUUAGAGCCUCAUCUAUUUAGAAUAAAUAGCAAAUGUGCCAAACAGUUUGUUCAAAAGGAAUUAUAAUGAAUAGUACCACUUUCUGUGUUCUUAUGCAGAGCCAAAAAGUGCAGGCAGUAGAUAAUAGAUCAUCGUGGUCUCAAAGUGCUCAGAAGUGGCAUGUAGAGACCAGAGUGUCUUGUCUCGUCCUUCACCAGAUAAGGAACAGGUGA
RNAcentral lists this long non-coding RNA (1118 nucleotides) under Struthio camelus australis. Its description in RNAcentral is "lncRNA (ENSSCUG00000016410.1)". Lineage: Eukaryota; Metazoa; Chordata; Aves; Struthioniformes; Struthionidae. The record is from RNAcentral.